GAUCCUGGCUCAGGAUGAACGCUAGCUACAGGCUUAACACAUGCAAGUCGAGGGGAAACGAUAUUGGAAGCUUGCUUCCGAUAGGCGUCGACCGGCGCACGGGUGAGUAACGCGUAUCCAACCUGCCCAUCACUUGGGAAUAACCUUGCGAAAGUAAGACUAAUGCCCAAUGACAUUUAUAGAAGGCAUCUGAAAUGAAUUAAAGAUUUAUCGGUGAUGGAUGGGGAUGCGUCUGAUUAGCUUGUUGGCGGGGUAACGGCCCACCAAGGCGACGAUCAGUAGGGGUUCUGAGAGGAAGGUCCCCCACAUUGGAACUGAGACACGGUCCAAACUCCUACGGGAGGCAGCAGUGAGGAAUAUUGGUCAAUGGGCGAGAGCCUGAACCAGCCAAGUAGCGUGCAGGAAGACGGCCCUAUGGGUUGUAAACUGCUUUUAUAGGGGAAUAAAGUGAGCCACGUGUGGCUUUUUGCAUGUACCCUAUGAAUAAGGACCGGCUAAUUCCGUG
Molecule: ribosomal RNA, 505 nt
Filed under: uncultured bacterium
Lineage: Bacteria
Description: bacterial SSU rRNA
Rfam family: Bacterial small subunit ribosomal RNA
Source: RNAcentral